AUGGCAACCGUCCAGCAGAUCCGUCACGCGCAGCGCUCGGACGGCCCGGCGGCCGUGCUUGCAAUCGGCACAGCGAACCCGGCGAGCUGCAUGCUCCAGAACGACUACGCCGACUACUACUUCCGCGUCACCAACAGCGAGCACCACGCCGACCUCAAGGACAAGCUCAAGAGAAUCUGUAAGAAUUCGGGCAUCGAGAGGCGCUACGUGCACCUCGACGAGGAGCUCCUCGGCGCGCACCCGGACUUCAGCGACCGCGCGCUGCCGACCCUCGACGCGCGGAUAGACAUGGCCUCGGCCGCGGUGCCCGAGCUCGCCGCGUCCGCCGCGGCCAGGGCCAUCGCCGAGUGGGGGCGCCCGGCCGCCGACGUCACGCACCUCGUCUUCAGCACCUACUCCGGCGGGAAGGCCCCCAGCGCCGACCUCCGCCUGGCGUCGCUGCUCGGCCUCCGCCCCACCGUGUCCCGCACCAUCCUCAGCCUCAACGGCUGCUCCGGUGGCGGCAGGGCGCUGCAGCUCGCCAAGGAGCUCGCCGAGAACAACCGCGGCGCGCGCGUCCUCGUGGCCUGCUCCGAGCUCACCCUCAUCGGGUUCUACGGGCCCCAGGAGGGUCGCCUCGACACCAUCCUGGGCAACGGCAUAUUCGGCGACGGCGCGGGCGCCGUCAUCGUCGGCGCC
Molecule: ribosomal RNA, 678 nt
Filed under: Triticum aestivum (bread wheat)
Lineage: Eukaryota; Viridiplantae; Streptophyta; Magnoliopsida; Poales; Poaceae
Description: partial small subunit ribosomal RNA
Source: RNAcentral